Molecule: ribosomal RNA, 1164 nt
Filed under: Stenomitos cf. frigidus 3CIP
Lineage: Bacteria; Bacillati; Cyanobacteriota; Cyanophyceae; Leptolyngbyales; Leptolyngbyaceae
Description: bacterial SSU rRNA
Rfam family: Bacterial small subunit ribosomal RNA
Source: RNAcentral
GGGGAAUUUUCCGCAAUGGGCGCAAGCCUGACGGAGCAAGACCGCGUGAGGGAGGAAGGCUCUUGGGUUGUAAACCUCUUUUAUCAGGGAAGAAGCUCUGACGGUACCUGAUGAAUCAGCAUCGGCUAACUCCGUGCCAGCAGCCGCGGUAAUACGGAGGAUGCAAGCGUUAUCCGGAUUUAUUGGGCGUAAAGCGUCCGCAGGUGGUUUUUCAAGUCUGCUGUUAAAGCGCGAGGCUUAACCUCGUACAGGCAGUGGAAACUGAGAGACUAGAGUAUGGUAGGGGUAGCGGGAAUUCCCAGUGUAGCGGUGAAAUGCGUAGAUAUUGGGAAGAACACCAGCGGCGAAAGCGCGCUACUGGGCCAUUACUGACACUCAUGGACGAAAGCUAGGGGAGCGAAAGGGAUUAGAUACCCCUGUAGUCCUAGCUGUAAACGAUGGGUACUAGGUGUUGACCGUAUCUUUUUUUUCAGUGCCGUAGCUAACGCGUUAAGUACCCCGCCUGGGGAGUAUGCACGCAAGUGUGAAACUCAAAGGAAUUGACGGGGGCCCGCACAAGCGGUGGAGUAUGUGGUUUAAUUCGAUGCAACGCGAAGAACCUUACCAGGGCUUGACAUGUCGCGAAUCUCGGUGAAAGUCGAGAGUGCCUUCGGGAGCGCGAACACAGGUGGUGCAUGGCUGUCGUCAGCUCGUGUCGUGAGAUGUUGGGUUAAGUCCCGCAACGAGCGCAACCCUCGUUUUUAGUUGCCAGCAUUUAGUUGGGCACUCUAGAGAGACUGCCGGUGACAAACCGGAGGAAGGUGGGGAUGACGUCAAGUCAGCAUGCCCCUUACGCCCUGGGCUACACACGUACUACAAUGCUUCGGACAAAGGGUUGCGAGCUAGCGAUGGCAAGCUAAUCCCGUAAACCGAGGCUCAGUUCAGAUUGCAGGCUGCAACUCGCCUGCAUGAAGGAGGAAUCGCUAGUAAUCCCAGGUCAGCAUACUGGGGUGAAUACGUUCCCGGGCCUUGUACACACCGCCCGUCACACCAUGGGAGUUGGCCACGCCCGAAGUCGUUACUCCAACCGCUUGCGGAGGAGGAUGCCGAAGGCAGGGCUGAUGACUGGGGUGAAGUCGUAACAAGGUAGCCGUACCGGAAGGUGUGGCUGGAUCACCUCCUUUU